This 535-nucleotide ribosomal RNA is filed under the name uncultured archaeon. RNAcentral's name for it is "bacterial SSU rRNA". It matches the Rfam family "Archaeal small subunit ribosomal RNA", at positions 465 to 997 of the family's 1478-position model. The record is from RNAcentral.
CCGCGGUAACACCGGCGGCCCGAGUGGUGAUCGUGAUUAUUGGGUCUAAAGGGUCCGUAGCCGUUUGGUCAGUCCUCCGGGAAAUCUGAUAGCUCAACUAUUAGGCUUUCGGGGGAUACUGCCAGACUUGGAACCGGGAGAGGUAAGAGGUACUACAGGGGUAGGAGUGAAAUCUUGUAAUCCCUGUGGGACCACCUGUGGCGAAGGCGCUUUACCAGAACGGGUUCGACGGUGAGGGACGAAAGCUGGGGGCACGAACCGGAUUAGAUACCCGGGUAGUCCCAGCCGUAAACGGAUGCUCGCUAGGUGUCAGGCAUGGCGCGACCGUGUCUGGUGCCGCAGGGAAGCCGUGAAGCGAGCCACCUGGGAAGUACGGCCGCAAGGCGUGAAACUUAAAGGAAUUGGCGGGGGAGCACAACAACGGGUGGAGCCCUGCGGUUUAAUUGGACUCAACGCCGGACAACUCACCGGGGGCGACAGCAAUAUGUAGGCCAAGCUGAAGACUUUGCCUGAAUCGCUGAGAAGUGGUGCAUGG